RNAcentral lists this small RNA (7990 nucleotides) under Rattus norvegicus (Norway rat). Its description in RNAcentral is "uncharacterized LOC102546539". The record is from RNAcentral. Lineage: Eukaryota; Metazoa; Chordata; Mammalia; Rodentia; Muridae.
GCAGAGAGCUGCUGCGGGCCCGCAUCUACAUUUUCUGUUGUGAUGGUUCUUUGGCAGCACUGGAAACUAGGAUUCCUUCUCAUUUUUCCUUUUACAUUUUCUAAGAUAUCAACAUAACCUAGUCACAGGAUCUUCAAAACUUGGUUCAACUCUUUACUCUCUGACAGCUACUUCUACUUCCCAAGCCGCCUUCAUUUUCUGCCUGUGAAACCAUGGCAAGAUCCUAUUUCCUACUACCACAUGCAGACCUGUUAUACCAUUGUCCAUCUAAUACCCAGACUAUUUCAGUAUAACUCCCAGAUCACAUCAUUCUCAUACUUAAAAUUCUCCAUUGGCUCUGCAUUUCUCUUGGCCUCCUUGCCAAGUUCUUGGUGAUUAUCUUGAGUUAGACCUAUCUUCCUCUGGUUUCAUUGUCUAUGGUUCUCUUUGCCUAGGUUUCUAUGCCUACCUUCCAUAAGGGAUGCUAACUGCACUCUUCCUGCAGACCUGUGCUGCUACUUUUGAAAGUGCUUUGCCCAUGGUACCUAUAGUGACUGGCUCCUUUUUCGAUCAUUCACAUCACAGCUCAGAUUUAGCUGGCACGUCAACUUAAUGAAAGUUGGUAGGCAUCCUAUAACUAGGACCCCUCUCUCACCUUCUGCUAAGUAUUUUAAAUUGGAGAUAUUUAUUUUAAUAGGGAAAACUGAAGGAGUCAUGUGAGAAAGUGUCCUUUGGCUAAUAUCUAGUCUUUGCUGAUGAAUUAUUUUCACAGCUUCUUUUAGGAUAGCAGUUGCAAAGGAAACAUAAUUUGUUCUCUGAGAAUUACAGCUUAUAUUUGACCACAAGCACUCAUCUAUUGCUGGCUUUUACUUAAGCUAUUUAAAAGGGGUCAAGCUGUGUACAGCAUAGAUGGAGAAACAAAAGACGAAUGAACUGUGGGCAGCUGCCUGAAGCUUCACAUUGACAUGUUUCCAGCAGAGAGCGCAGGCGACGCGUGCGCUCUGGGACGGGAAGCCAUCAGACUGUGGUACAUAAUUAGACAUGCAUUCUCAAGUUUGCCCCUCUGGUUCAAUAUUUUCAACUUGAACAUGUGUCUGGGGUGAUAGCACACCGUAGGGAGCAUUACAUGAAAAGAUGCUUCUGAGGAGAAGAGCAUGCAAGCUUAUUGAAGAAAAGGAUUCUAGUGGAAACCUCUUUCCCACCAUUUUCCACAGGGUACCAUCUGUUUAUUUCAGGGACCCUCCCCCCCCGAGCAACAUUGAUAGUUCCUUCCUGAACAUGUUGCUGCUGUAGGACAGAGGGACCAUUUAUACAGUUUUGUAGUUCUCUAAUUCUAUGUACUAGAAAAGUAACAUUUAAAACCAAAGCCAAAUACUUAGCAAGACAAGCAGCCAUGAGAGGUCCUGUCCCCACACUCAGUCCCUCCUUUUGGCUCUUAAACUGCAUGUUCAUAGCUCCUCUUUGUACCUGAGCUUCAUUCAAACACCCUAUGGAAGUCACUCUACCACCCAUUUCUACCUUCAAGAUCUAGAGUCCUGCCUUUCUCAUACAUCUCUGCUGUCUAGCAUUUUUAUCUGAUGCUUUUUUUUUUUUUUUUUGUAUUUUCAGUUUCAUUCCCUGGGUUGAUGUGUAAGGAUAUUUAUCGCUAGGAGGGCAUUCCCACUGAAGACUGUGGUACAGGAAUAGGCUCUGCCUAUUUUGGGUGUGCCCUCAAAUGCAGGAGUGGAUCUUGCGGGGGCAUCACUGAUCUCACUGCUGGUCACCACCGGGAAAUGCUUACUUCAUGGAGGCUAUUGUCACAGGGAUGCUAUUUUUUUCUGUUAAACAUACUUUCUGUAGUUUAAAUCUUGGAAGAGUUAACUUUGGAAGAUGGAGCAAUGGCUCAGUGAUUAACAGCAAUUGUUACACUUUCAGAGGACCCAAGUUCAGUUCUUAGCACCGACUAAUCAGGCCUGUAACUUCAACUUUAGGAGUUGACCUGAUAUACUCUUCUGGCCUCCCCUGACACAGGCAGGCAGACACACACACACACACACACACACACACACACACACACACACACACACACAUUAUAAAAUUAAAAACCUUUUAAAAAGAACUUUUUCCUGAGGACAAUAAAACUAGUAACACCAAGAAAUUAGCUUAGAAAUCUGUGUACCUGUUUAUUGUCACAUGAUACCGGAAUCUCUCCUUUUUGACACUUAAAUAAUUGUAUUUCUAUAACUUUUCAUAGUUUUUUUGGGGAUCAUAAAUGGAAAGUCUAAUUAAAGUUGAAGCUAAUACUCAGUUUAUGGGUUUGAUUUAAUAAGUAUGAAAUUAGCUUUAAUAUUCAGAUGGUCUUUUGAGAAAAACACAUUUGUUCAUUAAAUGUGGCGUCCCUAGUUCCCUUCCCUCUGUGGUUGUAUAAGAUCCAAAUGACAGGGUUGAUCCGAGAAGUUAUUAUGUUGUUUUAAAAGUCAUCAAAUGUUUUCACAACUGUAAUCUUAUUUAAAUACAGUCUCUGUUCUCAGAAAACUUACAUUGAAAAAAUAAAACUAUUAAUGCACCUUUCUUGGAGAACUAUUAAAUAGAGAUGUGGAUACAUUUAAAUGGAAUAAGAGAGAAAGGUCAGCAUAAAUGGAAUAAAUCUCAAUGACAUUCAGCCUGUCCACACUUCUGGUUGGCUUUGUAAUAAGUAUAUGAGCCUCCAUAUUAUUGGUAUUUUAUGUCACCUGUUUUCCCUUUGUAAGAAUGGCCAUGGCUAUUCAUGGGCUGUCUGAAUAUGGAACAUGUUGUGCCUACUCACCUUCGACUGCAUGAGUCAUUUAGACAACCAGAGAUAUACACUCACGGAAUGAGAUCACUCCCCCAGACACCAAAUAAUAAUGUCUGCCCUUAGGGACAAGCAGAGGAGCGGCUGCACCUGGACUCCUUGUGUUACACCCUGUGUCUCUUUACCUUUGCAGGCUUGCUUGGUUCUCCUCCAAAGAACCACCUAUAGUGCUUAUAAUCUCUUACAUUUUCUCUAUCAGUUUCUGGACUCCGAGGACGUGUUGCCUCGAGUAGGCACCAUACAUUUCUUAGGGAAGAUUUUGCAGCUGAAAACUAAGAGUUCAUUUAUGAGAUCGGUUUUUAAUAGUUUUCUUUCUCUUGCUCAGCCCUAGCCUGGACUUGUUUAUUAUACUGUGGUCACACAACUCAUAAUGGCUCCAGGGUUAGAAGGACUACAGAGCUCACUUAUGUGAUUCUGAGCAGGAAUUCUGUGUUACAGAACAAGACAUGCUAUGUGUUCAUUAAAAAUCUGAAGAAGCCAGCAUCUUAAGUGAAGAUUUAUUAUAUGUUUUCAAGAUCCUCAUUCCGUGAUCCUAAGGCUGGACACAGGGAGUAGAAUGCUAUGCCUGUGAACUUUGCUUAGCUUAUACCAUGUAGCGUGUUACUCGGAUUUUGGCCACUGUGACACACACUGGAGAUAAUCAGCUUAGAAGGAGAAAGGUUAGUUUUAACUCAGAUGUGGGGUGGGAGGGGUUGUUCCAGUGAGUUGGGUUCAUUGCUCAUUGCUCAAAAGCAAUGAGGCAGGAAACCAUGGCAAGAGCACGUGAUGGUGGGAGCUGCUUGUCUCCUGGUUGCUAGGAGGUGAAAAAAGGCAGAGAAGUUUGGGCAGCAUUGCCUUCAAAGGCACAUUCCCCAUCACUCAACUUCCUCAACCAGGUCCUGCCCCUUACAGAUCUCACUGCUAUCCCACAGAGUUGUUGACUGAGAUCCAAGUAUUCACAUAUGGCUCUAUGGGAGACAUUUCAUUUCAAAAUUAAGUCACAAGUGUUUCUCUUUGUUCUCUCAACAGGAUAUGAUGCCAUAUCAGUUAUUACUGAGUGGGUUCCAUUUCAACAAUAAACAACUCUCAAUCUCUUGUGAGGGACCAAUAUUGGUACCUUAAUAUUCAUGGAAACUAUAGAUUGUAUUAGGUUUAGUCUUUUGUGCUACACAUUCGAUGGGUUUGGCUGGAUAAACGAUGCCAGGUACCCAUCAUGACAACCUUAUGCCGAGUAGUCCCAUGGACCCCAAAGUCCCCUGUGUACUAUUUACUCUUCACUUUCUAUAUUUCACAUGGAAAUUACCAGUUUUUAAUGUCUUCCCAUUUCUAGACGGCAACCCAUCACACAGUAAUUGCUCUUUUCACGUGACAGCAUACAUCCAAGUUCCCCACCUGUGUGUUCAUUCACUUGGUUCUGCAGGGACUCCUGCAGUUGUCUGCAUAUCUCACUUUUUUCAUAAUUCACCCAUCGAAGACUAUUAAGGUUGCUUCCAAUUUUUAAUAACAGAAGUCCCAACUUGUGUGAGUGUAUAUUUUCAACUGUAGGUCAUAUAGUGUAUCAGUUACUUUUUUUGUUGUUGAUGAGAAAAAGCACCCAGACCAAGAGCAGCUUAAGGAAGAAAGGACAUACUUUGGCUUCAGAGGGUCAGAGUUCACAGUGGCAGGGAAGUCAUGGUAGUAAGAAACUGAAGCAUAGAGCUGGGAGAGCACCUUUACCCACAAAUGCAAGAGAGGGAAACUUGGAAGCAGGUCAAGCUAUAAACUCAAAAGUCUCACCCCUACCCUGUGAUCUGCCUCCAUCAACAAGACCACACCUCCUAAUAUCCAAAUACCUGAGCCUAUUAGGGAUACUAUCGUUCAAACCACCACAAAUGGUGAGAGGGAAAUCUCUGAGAACAAAAUAUGAUGUUAAUUUUUUAAACCUAAGCAACAUGGUCAUUCUGUGUUGAUUUGGGGAUAUUGUUCUAUGUUAUUCCAACAGGAAGACUCCAGUUCAUAAAUACCUUUUAGAUUAUUGCAGGGUUAUAAGAUCAGCAAAAGAGAAGGAUGGAGGAAGAAGUCUAUGUGUUUUGCAUCAGCAAUUCAGGACUGUCAUCUGGAAAUGACCCCACUCAUGCUCACUGGUAGCAUGCCCUGUCUCCACAACAGGGAGCCAAGAAGUUCAGCUUUUUAAUUAUCCAGAAGAAAUGGACAAAUGGAUACCAGCCAUUAGCUCUAGUCCCCUUUGUUUGCCCCAAAGAAACACAUCUUACAAGGAGGAAGCUGGGUGUAUGUGGAGGUAAGCUAUUUCUUACAGGCUUGUUCUACUCAGCUUGGUUUUGACUUUUGAAAAUGUCUAAGCUACUGGUUAGAGUCUGGUAGCCUCAGCAGAUGGUAAGGGAUGCUGGAAGAGACUGCAAUCAAUGUCCCAAAGUAUUGAGUGCAGGACCCAGCUUUUAAGGAAGUUAUCACAAGGGUUUAAAGGCAUGGGAGCUAAGCAGACAGACUGAAGUUAUGGUAGUGUUACAAAGUCAGUUGAAAACAAAAGUUUUGAUUGGAGGUGAGGGUGUGGUGGGGAUUCAUAGCAAGAUGUUUAUGGCCAGCUGUGUGAUAGCUUGGAGUUCAUAUGUAUACCUGUGUGCACAUACAUGUCCAUGUGUACAUUUGGCAGAGGAAAGUAAAGAUGAAGGAGGAGAUGAGUAGUGAUACAAUCAUGAUUUAUGCUUGGAUUGAAUAAGAGAUCAUUAAGCAGGGUAAAGCUGCAUUGUCUCUACACUGAUAGUUCAAACCCAAUCAGAGGAACCAGACAUCCAAUAGCAGGAAGAGAUUGCUCCAUAGGCUUUAUCGACGUCAAUGCUUUAAAUAGGAAAGUAGAAAAUGUCUUUUUUUCUUAACACUGGUGGUGAGUCGAACACAUUUAAAGUUUUGCAUCUUCCUUAGGGUUGUAUGCGAUUGUCUCGAAACCCCAGCUGUUUGUGGUAAGGCCGUGAGUGCCCUUUCUGCCACAGCCUCCAUUAAAUCUAGAACCAGGAAAGGGAGUUGCAUAGUGACAGAGAAAGGGCCAGUGAAGGCUGGGACUGACAGAUGGGGAGCAGAAGGGAGGGGAAGGCACUGCGAAAUGAAAAGGAAGCUAUAAAAUUAAUUUGCCCUUCCUUUAUGAAUGAGACAUUAGCAGUUGCUUUUGGGCCAAUUACGUUGGCCAUCACAUUUUAAUAGUGGCAGUUACAGCCAGUUUAAUUAGUAAGUUUUUGUGAGUAAUUUAACAUUUCACUGAACGAGAAACCAUUCUGAGGGGAAAGAGGGGUCCUCUAAAUAAUAGUCACAUCUCUGCAAAAGCCAAUCAUUUAAUAAGAAGAAAUCUAACAACAGAAAAUGGUUGCUCCAUAUUUUUUAAGUGACAGUUUAAUUAGGUAUUUAAAGUGGGAAAAAUAGAAACAGUGUUUACCAUCAGGACUGGUGACAAAUCAGCCAGGCUUACAUUUUGGCUUUUUUUUUUCUUUCUUGCUCACUAGUACUUCUGUUCCAAUUUGCUAUUGAACCUGAUUUAUUUUCCCUUCUUUUCUCAUAGUAGUGUUAGGAACAAGCAAAAGAAACUUGUCCUAAGUACUGCCAUUUUGUUUUCAGAUGCCAUUUUAUCACAGUAGAGACAAAGUUCAAGGUCCCAGGCCUUAGGGGAGCUGGGAAUUUCCCAAUAGCUGAACAGCUUCUGUUGUAAGGAGACAGUUGACUGAGUCCAGCCUUCUCAGAGACAGCUUGUAAGAAGACAGUUGUCUAAGUCUAGCCAUCCCAGGGACAAGUUCUCCAUCUUGUUGGCAGGGUCAAACUAAGUUCAUGUUCCCAGGCUGAGGAACCAAUUCCUAUCCUAAUUGGUAGGAACUCUCUUGCUCAAUUCCUUAUGUCAAAAUAUGAUUGGACAAUGCUACAGCCCACCGUGUUUCCCCUCACUUUAUGGUUUCUUCCUUUAACUACGCUGUACAACUUGCCCUUCAGAGUUGCAGGUCAGCCCCUGAGGAUUAUGUUCUAUGGUCCUGAUCCAUCAGAAGUGGUUGAUUGUAAUAGAUUUUUGUCAGCUGCAUUGACCUGUUGUUUAAGUGAUGUUGGAUCUAAGCGGACUCCAUAACAGUAGUUUGCUGCCACUGUCCUCAUUCCCAUUUCCAUGAAUACUAUUUUGCUCGAGGCUCUUACUAAGAGCCUUUAGGGGUGCAGAUAAAAGCAGCACAGCCACCCACUCUCACCCUCAGCAGCCCAAGAGGAUCCCCAAGCAGGUCAGUAUCCACUUAGGACAAACUAGGAUUUGUGGCUUCAGUGAAGCAAAGAAUUUCAGGACAAUCCGUUUAUGAGACAGAGUUAGAGAAUUAUUAAAGAUAUUUGAAUAUAGGAUGAAGCUUGUGGACUAGUAGAAAAGGGUCCCUAAAUACGUACUAAGACUAUGGGUGUGGGCUUCUCAGAUCACUGGUUUUACAAUUAUCAUAUAUAUCCUGAGGGGCACCUGAGAGGAUUAUAAUUGAAGAGAUAAAAAUUUAACUCACAGUGAUACUUGAAGGUAAGGCAGCUUUACUAAAAACAGUUUUGAGAUAUUUUUAGGCAUUGUCUGAGGAAAUGAAUGAGGCCCUACCCAAAGGUCAUAUGUAUUCUGACCUUCAGCCUGGGUCAUCGCUGCUUGAAUAUGAACUAUCUAUAUGUGAAAGGAAUAUUAAAGAAGUGAAAUGCAGAACUUGGGAUGAUAAGUGGUCUCUGUCCUCCUAAAGUUGAGGUGCAUCAGAUUCAAAUAAUAUGAGGUUCUGUAAUAUAAAGAGAGCUGUUUGCAGUAUGCAGAAAAGAAAACAUAGCUCUUGCUAAGAAUUACAUUAAAAUUCAGCAGUAAUACAAAUAUUCAUAAUCAGCAUGGUCCCAUAUAAGGGCAUAGUACUCAUCCAUAGUUUCCUAGCAGCCUUGUCUUCAACCCUUAUUUUCUAACCACCUCCCCCAUCUCUUUCCCAGGGUCCUGGAGGCUAAACUUGAGACUAAAAUAUUAGCAGAUUUGUUUCUUCUAGAAACUUCUGCCUAGACUUGUCCCCCCAACACAGUGGUGCCAUGCUUAGCAUCAAGGAGUGGUGCUAUUUGAUAAGGAUUAUGAAAUGUGGCCUUGUUGGAGGGAGUGUGUUACUGGGAGUGGGUUUUGAGAUUUCAAAAGCUCAAGCCAGAUCCAGCUGCCCUGUCUCUUCUGUUACCUGUGGAUUCAGAUGUAGAACUCUUAGCUAC